GACGAACGCUGGCGGCGCGCCUAACACAUGCAAGUCGAACGGAGCUGUUUUCUCUGAAGUUUUCGGAUGGAAGAGAGUUCAGCUUAGUGGCGAACGGGUGAGUAACACGUGAGCAACCUGCCUUUCAGUGGGGGACAACAUUUGGAAACGAAUGCUAAUACCGCAUAAGACCACAGUGUCGCAUGGCACAGGGGUCAAAGGAUUUAUCCGCUGAAAGAUGGGCUCGCGUCCGAUUAGCUAGAUGGUGAGGUAACGGCCCACCAUGGCGACGAUCGGUAGCCGGACUGAGAGGUUGAACGGCCACAUUGGGACUGAGACACGGCCCAGACUCCUACGGGAGGCAGCAGUGGGGAAUAUUGCACAAUGGGGGAAACCCUGAUGCAGCGACGCCGCGUGGAGGAAGAAGGUCUUCGGAUUGUAAACUCCUGUCCCAGGGGACGAUAAUGACGGUACCCUGGGAGGAAGCACCGGCUAACUACGUGCCAGCAGCCGCGGUAAAACGUAGGGUGCAAGCGUUGUCCGGAAUUACUGGGUGUAAAGGGAGCGCAGGCGGAUUGGCAAGUUGGGAGUGAAAUCUAUGGGCUCAACCCAUAAAUUGCUUUCAAAACUGUCAGUCUUGAGUGGUGUAGAGGUAGGCGGAAUUCCCGGUGUAGCGGUGGAAUGCGUAGAUAUCGGGAGGAACACCAGUGGCGAAGGCGGCCUACUGGGCACUAACUGACGCUGAG
Molecule: ribosomal RNA, 725 nt
Filed under: uncultured Lachnospiraceae bacterium
Lineage: Bacteria; Bacillati; Bacillota; Clostridia; Lachnospirales; Lachnospiraceae
Description: bacterial SSU rRNA
Rfam family: Bacterial small subunit ribosomal RNA
Source: RNAcentral